RNAcentral lists this ribosomal RNA (253 nucleotides) under uncultured bacterium. RNAcentral describes it as "partial 16S ribosomal RNA". It matches the Rfam family "Bacterial small subunit ribosomal RNA", at positions 524 to 776 of the family's 1533-position model. The record is from RNAcentral.
UACGAAGGGGGCUAGCGUUGUUCGGAGUUACUGGGCGUAAAGGGCGCGUAGGCGGCGCAUCAAGUCAGGCGUGAAAGCCCUGGGCUCAACCCGGGAAUUGCGCUUGAGACUGGUGUGCUUGAGUACGGGAGAGGAUAGUGGAAUUCCCAGUGUAGAGGUGAAAUGCGCAGAUAUCAGGAAGAACACCCGUGGCUAAGGCGGCUCUCUAGUACGGUACUGACGCUGAGACGCGAAAGCGUGGGGAGCGAACAGG